UAGGGAAUCUUCGGCAAUGGACGAAAGUCUGACCGAGCAACGCCGCGUGAGUGAAGAAGGUUUUCGGAUCGUAAAACUCUGUUGUUAGAGAAGAACAAGGACGUUAGUAACUGAACGUCCCCUGACGGUAUCUAACCAGAAAGCCACGGCUAACUACGUGCCAGCAGCCGCGGUAAUACGUAGGUGGCAAGCGUUGUCCGGAUUUAUUGGGCGUAAAGCGAGCGCAGGCGGUUUCUUAAGUCUGAUGUGAAAGCCCCCGGCUCAACCGGGGAGGGUCGUUGGAGACUGGGAGACUUGAGUGCAGAAGAGGAGAGUGGAAUUCCAUGUGUAGCGGUGAAAUGCGUAGAUAUAUGGAGGAACACCAGUGGCGAAGGCGGCUCUCUGGUCUGUAACUGACGCUGAGGCUCGAAAGCGUGGGGAGCAAACAGG
RNAcentral lists this ribosomal RNA (429 nucleotides) under Gemmatimonadota bacterium. RNAcentral describes it as "Gemmatimonadetes bacterium partial 16S ribosomal RNA". It matches the Rfam family "Bacterial small subunit ribosomal RNA", at positions 355 to 776 of the family's 1533-position model. Lineage: Bacteria; Pseudomonadati; Gemmatimonadota. The record is from RNAcentral.